CCUACGGGCGGCAGCAGUGGGGAAUAUUGGACAAUGGGCGAAAGCCUGAUCCAGCCAUGCCGCGUGUGUGAAGAAGGCCUUCGGGUUGUAAAGCACUUUCAGUGGGGAAGAAAGCCUUGGGGCUAAUACCCUCGAGGAAGGACAUCACCCACAGAAGAAGCACCGGCUAACUCCGUGCCAGCAGCCGCGGUAAUACGGAGGGUGCGAGCGUUAAUCGGAAUUACUGGGCGUAAAGCGCGCGUAGGCGGUCUGAUAAGCCGGUUGUGAAAGCCCCGGGCUCAACCUGGGAACGGCAUCCGGAACGGUCAGGCUAGAGUGCAGGAGAGGAAGGUGGAAUUCCCGGUGUAGCGGUGAAAUGCGUAGAGAUCGGGAGGAAUACCAGUGGCGAAGGCGGCCUUCUGGACUGACACUGACGCUGAGGUGCGAAAGCGUGGGUAGCAAACAGGAUUAGAUACCCGGGUAGUC
This 465-nucleotide ribosomal RNA is filed under the name Vreelandella stevensii. RNAcentral's name for it is "partial 16S ribosomal RNA". It matches the Rfam family "Bacterial small subunit ribosomal RNA", at positions 338 to 795 of the family's 1533-position model. The record is from RNAcentral. Lineage: Bacteria; Pseudomonadati; Pseudomonadota; Gammaproteobacteria; Oceanospirillales; Halomonadaceae.